CAGGACGCGCAGUUAACUUUGAAUUUCAGAUAAACAGUGAAUACUUUUUUAGUAUAAGUAUAUCCUCGUGCAAUAUUUGGGACAUACUUGUACUAAAAAGUCUUCAUUACAUAUCUGAAAUUCACAGUUGGCCAGGUGUCCUGUA
Molecule: microRNA precursor, 145 nt
Filed under: Tursiops truncatus (common bottlenose dolphin)
Lineage: Eukaryota; Metazoa; Chordata; Mammalia; Artiodactyla; Delphinidae
Description: miRNA (ENSTTRG00000021640.1)
Rfam family: mir-1302 microRNA precursor family (bases 46-98)
Source: RNAcentral